RNAcentral lists this ribosomal RNA (497 nucleotides) under uncultured bacterium. Its description in RNAcentral is "partial 16S ribosomal RNA". It matches the Rfam family "Bacterial small subunit ribosomal RNA", at positions 28 to 507 of the family's 1533-position model. The record is from RNAcentral.
GAUGAACGCUGGCGGCGUGCCUAAUACAUGCAAGUCGAGCGAACAGAUGAGGAGCUUGCUCCUCUGACGUUAGCGGCGGACGGGUGAGUAAGACGUGGAUAACCUACCUAUAAGACGGAGAUAACUACGGGAAACAGGAGCUAAUACCGGAUAAUAUAUUGAACCGCAUGGUUCAAUAGUGAAAGACGGUUUUGCUGUCACUUAUAGAUGGAUCCGCGCCGCAUUAGCUAGUUGGUAAGGUAACGGCUUACCAAGGCAACGAUGCGUAGCCGACCUGAGAGGGUGAUCAGCCACACUGGAACUGAGACACGGUCCAGACUCCUACGGGAGGCAGCAGUAGGGAAUCUUCCGCAAUGGGCGAAAGCCUGACGGAGCAACGCCGCGUGAGUGAUGAAGGUCUUCGGAUCGUAAAACUCUGUUAUUAGGGAAGAACAAAUGUGUAAGUAACUAUGCACGUCUUGACGGUACCUAAUCAGAAAGCCACGGCUAACUACGUG